AGGUGUCGCGGGCUUUGACCCCUGCGGUGCCGUAGCUAACGCAUUAAGCACCCCGCCUGGGGAGUACGGCCGCAAGGCUAAAACUCAAAGGAAUUGACGGGGGCCCGCACAAGCGGUGGAGCAUGUGGUUCAAUUCGACGCAACGCGCAGAACCUUACCUGGGCUAGAAAAUGCAGGAACCUGGUUGAAAAAUCGGGGUGCUCUUCGGAGAACCUGUAGUUAGGUGCUGCAUGGCUGUCGU
This 241-nucleotide ribosomal RNA is filed under the name uncultured bacterium. RNAcentral describes it as "partial 16S ribosomal RNA". It matches the Rfam family "Bacterial small subunit ribosomal RNA", at positions 818 to 1055 of the family's 1533-position model. The record is from RNAcentral.